GACGAACGCUGGCGGCGUGCUUAACACAUGCAAGUCGAACGGAAAGGCCCUGCUUUUGUGGGGUGCUCGAGUGGCGAACGGGUGAGUAACACGUGAGUAACCUGCCCUUGACUUUGGGAUAACUUCAGGAAACUGGGGCUAAUACCGGAUAGGAGCUCCUGCUGCAUGGUGGGGGUUGGAAAGUUUCGGCGGUUGGGGAUGGACUCGCGGCUUAUCAGCUUGUUGGUGGGGUAGUGGCUUACCAAGGCUUUGACGGAUAGCCGGCCUGAGAGGGUGACCGGCCACAUUGGGACUGAGAUACGGCGCAGACUCCUACGGGAGGCAGCAGGGGGGAAUAUUGCACAAUGGGCGGAAGCCUGAUGCAGCAACGCCGCGUGCGGGAUGACGGCCUUCGGGUUGUAAACCGCUUUCGCCGGUGACGAAGCGUGAGUGACGGUAAUGGGUAAAGAAGCACCGGCUAACUACGUG
RNAcentral lists this ribosomal RNA (468 nucleotides) under uncultured bacterium. RNAcentral's name for it is "partial 16S ribosomal RNA". It matches the Rfam family "Bacterial small subunit ribosomal RNA", at positions 28 to 507 of the family's 1533-position model. The record is from RNAcentral.